UUAUCGCUCCCAAGAAAUAUGGUGGCCUUGGUUUUAGAGAUGCUCACUGUGUGAAUUUGGCUUUGUUAGGCAAGCUGGUCUGGCAAAUUCUUUAAGGAUAAAUUAUGGGUUACACUCAUGUCAAGAAAAUACAUAGAGCGUUGUUGUAGCUUGGAUUUUAAGAUUCCCACAAACGCUUCUAACUGUUGACAUAGUGUUGCUUUGGCGCUUAAUUUUUGAAGGAUGAUUUUUCUUGGUGUAUAGGCUCCCUUCAUCAAUCAGUUUGGCAUGAUUCUUGGAGUCUUCUUAGGUAUAUUGGAAAACUUCUCUCUUAUGUCCACAUUUCAGAUAUUCACAUUAACCUAGAAGAUAUUUGUUUUAAUUUUGUUUGGCAUUUGGAUUCGUUGACCACUCCUCUUUCCUUGGAUAUUAAAAAUUUCAUUCUUGGUAUGACUCCUCACAUUGGUGGUAACCCUGGAUGGUGGUGGUCUUCAUCCUCUACCAAAACCUACUCAACAAAAGAGGGAUAUAUUUGGCCCUUGCAAAGGAAAUACCAUUGGGAUACCCACAUCAAUUGAAACUGGUUGUGGCGCUCAAAAAUUCCAGAAAAAUUGAAGGUUCUUGUUUGGCUCUGCAUCCAGGAACUUGCCACAGUAGCUUUUCGAUUUCGGUGCGAGAUAGCAAUGCCGGAUCUCUACCCUCGCUGCAAUGGUCAAAAGAGUCAGCUUAUCAUUGCUUUUUUGAGUGUUAUCAGCUUGAAACGUGUGGUCCAUUCUGGGUGUGUCAUUGUUCGGCAUCAGCAGCUCUAUGACUGGUUUAGUGAACCCCUUGGAUAUUUUCCAGCGUCGGAUGGUGCAAGCUGAUUUCACUUUUUUCGCAGGAGGCUUGCUCAGGAGCUGGAAAAUUUCAGCCACUCAAACCACCUCCUUCAUGAACCUGACCUGAUGAUAGUGUGGUUUGGUCUCCUCCUCCAAAAGAUAUGGUCAAAAUAAAUUGUGAUGCCAACAUUUACAUGAGUACAAUCUUGAGGGAUUUGGUUGUCUUCUUUGGGAUAAAAAUAGAACUUGGAGAAAAGGUUGCUCAGGAUGUCUCCCUAAUUGGAAAAUUUUCAGGUGUGAACUUUUUGCUCUUUGGAGGGAUUUGGUUCUUACUUGGGAAUGUGGGUUAAAAUCAUUCAUAUAAUCAAAACUGACUCGAUGAAAGUUUAUCUAAGACUUCAAUUUGAUUCUGAUCGGCCAACUAACACUGAUGGUGAUCUAGUGUUGAAAAUUAAAGAGUUGGCUUUGAAUUGGAAAGUUCAUUUUAGUCUAGUGAGAAGGGAAGCAAAUUCAACUGCUGACCUGCUAGCUAAGAGAGGGGCUUGGGAUGGGAUUGAUUUGGUGGAGCGGCUGGAGUCUUGGCAACAGUUGCGAGACGUUUUCAGUAGGGACUUAGUAUUGCCAACUUGAUUCUUGUUUUGUAUUUUCUUUUAGCCCCUAUGUUCUAAUUUUUUUCAAAGACAC
Non-coding RNA from Arachis ipaensis, 1481 nucleotides. The record is from RefSeq and is a predicted model, not a curated record. Lineage: Eukaryota; Viridiplantae; Streptophyta; Magnoliopsida; Fabales; Fabaceae.